RNAcentral lists this ribosomal RNA (435 nucleotides) under uncultured bacterium. RNAcentral's name for it is "partial 16S ribosomal RNA". It matches the Rfam family "Bacterial small subunit ribosomal RNA", at positions 29 to 507 of the family's 1533-position model. The record is from RNAcentral.
AGCGAACGCUGGCGGCAGGCUUAACACAUGCAAGUCGAGCGGGCGUAGCAAUACGUCAGCGGCAGACGGGUGAGUAACGCGUGGGAACGUACCUUUUGGUUCGGAACAACACAGGGAAACUUGUGCUAAUACCGGAUAAGCCCUUACGGGGAAAGAUUUAUCGCCGAAAUAUCGGCCCGCGUCUGAUUAGCUAGUUGGUGAGGUAACGGCUCACCAAGGCGACGAUCAGUAGCUGGUCUGAGAGGAUGAUCAGCCACAUUGGGACUGAGACACGGCCCAAACUCCUACGGGAGGCAGCAGUGGGGAAUAUUGGACAAUGGGGGCAACCCUGAUCCAGCCAUGCCGCGUGAGUGAUGAAGGCCCUAGGGUUGUAAAGCUCUUUUGUGCGGGAAGAUAAUGACGGUACCGCAAGAAUAAGCCCCGGCUAACUUCGUG